This is a transfer RNA of Aspergillus brasiliensis CBS 101740, 118 nucleotides long. It matches the Rfam family "tRNA". From Rfam's summary of the family: Transfer RNA (tRNA) molecules are approximately 80 nucleotides in length. Their secondary structure includes four short double-helical elements and three loops (D, anti-codon, and T loops). Lineage: Eukaryota; Fungi; Ascomycota; Eurotiomycetes; Eurotiales; Aspergillaceae. The record is from Rfam.
GGGGCAAUGGCGCAUCUGGGAGCGCGUCAGACUGAAGCUCUAACUUCGGCCAUAGGCUUCGUCCGAAAGGACGUCCCUGUUAAUCUGAAGGUGGCCGGUUCAAGCCCGGCUUGCCCCA